RNAcentral lists this ribosomal RNA (600 nucleotides) under Acinetobacter baumannii. RNAcentral's name for it is "bacterial SSU rRNA". It matches the Rfam family "Bacterial small subunit ribosomal RNA", at positions 1 to 600 of the family's 1533-position model. Lineage: Bacteria; Pseudomonadati; Pseudomonadota; Gammaproteobacteria; Moraxellales; Moraxellaceae. The record is from RNAcentral.
GAAGAGUUUGAUCAUGGCUCAGAUUGAACGCUGGCGGCAGGCUUAACACAUGCAAGUCGAGCGGGGGAAGGUAGCUUGCUACCGGACCUAGCGGCGGACGGGUGAGUAAUGCUUAGGAAUCUGCCUAUUAGUGGGGGACAACAUCUCGAAAGGGAUGCUAAUACCGCAUACGUCCUACGGGAGAAAGCAGGGGAUCUUCGGACCUUGCGCUAAUAGAUGAGCCUAAGUCGGAUUAGCUAGUUGGUGGGGUAAAGGUCUACCAAGGCGACGAUCUGUAGCGGGUCUGAGAGGAUGAUCCGCCACACUGGGACUGAGACACGGCCCAGACUCCUACGGGAGGCAGCAGUGGGGAAUAUUGGACAAUGGGGGGAACCCUGAUCCAGCCAUGCCGCGUGUGUGAAGAAGGCCUUAUGGUUGUAAAGCACUUUAAGCGAGGAGGAGGCUACUCUAGUUAAUACCUAGAGAUAGUGGACGUUACUCGCAGAAUAAGCACCGGCUAACUCUGUGCCAGCAGCCGCGGUAAUACAGAGGGUGCGAGCGUUAAUCGGAUUUACUGGGCGUAAAGCGUGCGUAGGCGGCUUAUUAAGUCGGAUGUGAAAU